AUCCUUUUGUAGUUCAUAAGCUUGAUGAUUGGGUGUUCACGUAUUUGUGUAACAUGUGACUCCCUCCAACCUUGUUACGACCUCUGCACAUGACCUGUCUGAUG
Mustela putorius furo (domestic ferret) is the source of this 104-nucleotide small nucleolar RNA. The record is from Ensembl. NCBI's taxonomy places the organism in Eukaryota, Metazoa, Chordata, Mammalia, Carnivora, Mustelidae.